RNAcentral lists this ribosomal RNA (451 nucleotides) under uncultured bacterium. RNAcentral describes it as "partial 16S ribosomal RNA". It matches the Rfam family "Bacterial small subunit ribosomal RNA", at positions 354 to 796 of the family's 1533-position model. The record is from RNAcentral.
GUGGGGAAUAUUGGACAAUGGGGGGAACCCUGAUCCAGCCAUGCCGCGUGUGUGAAGAAGGCCUUUUGGUUGUAAAGCACUUUAAGCGAGGAGGAGGCUACCGAGAUUAAUACUCUUGGAUAGUGGACGUUACUCGCAGAAUAAGCACCGGCUAACUCUGUGCCAGCAGCCGCGGUAAUACAGAGGGUGCAAGCGUUAAUCGGAUUUACUGGGCGUAAAGCGCGCGUAGGUGGCCAAUUAAGUCAAAUGUGAAAUCCCCGAGCUUAACUUGGGAAGUGCAUUCGAUACUGGUUGGCUAGAGUAUGGGAGAGGAUGGUAGAAUUCCAGGUGUAGCGGUGAAAUGCGUAGAGAUCUGGAGGAAUACCGAUGGCGAAGGCAGCCAUCUGGCCUAAUACUGACACUGAGGUGCGAAAGCAUGGGGAGCAAACAGGAUUAGAAACCCCAGUAGUCC